Molecule: small RNA, 1290 nt
Filed under: Pan troglodytes (chimpanzee)
Lineage: Eukaryota; Metazoa; Chordata; Mammalia; Primates; Hominidae
Description: retained intron
Source: RNAcentral
CGGCGGCGAGCGGACGGCUGCAUUUACGGGGUCUCCCGGAGGGCCAGAGUCGGAAAUUGUUGAAAACGUUAAAUUUGAUUCCUAAAAGGACUCAAUGGCUUACAGAAGAGACGAAAUGUGGUCUGAGGGACGAUAUGAAUAUGAAAGAAUUCCGAGAGAACGAGCACCUCCUCGAAGUCAUCCCAGUGAUGAAUCUGGUUAUAGAUGGACAAGAGACGAUCAUUCUGCAAGCAGGCAACCUGAAUACAGGGACAUGAGAGAUGGCUUUAGAAGAAAAAGUUUCUACUCUUCCCAUUAUGCGAGAGAGCGGUCUCCUUAUAAAAGAGACAAUACUUUUUUCAGAGAAUCACCUGUUGGCCGAAAGGAUUCUCCACACAGCAGAUCUGGUUCCAGUGUCAGUAGCAGAAGCUACUCUCCAGAAAGGAGCAAAUCAUACUCUUUCCAUCAGUCUCAACAUAGAAAGUCCGUGCGUCCUGGUGCCUCCUACAAACGGCAGAAUGAAGGAAAUCCUGAAAGAGAUAAAGAGAGGCCUGUCCAGUCUUUGAAAACAUCAAGAGAUACUUCACCCUCAAGUGGUUCAGCAGUUUCUUCAUCAAAGGUGUUAGACAAACCCAGUAGGCUAACUGAAAAGGAACUUGCUGAGGCUGCAAGCAAGUGGGCUGCUGAAAAGCUAGAGAAAUCAGAUGAAAGUAACUUGCCUGAAAUUUCUGAGUAUGAGGCGGGAUCCACAGCACCAUUGUUUACUGACCAGCCAGAGGAACCUGAGUCAAACACAACACAUGGGAUAGAAUUAUUUGAAGAUAGUCAGCUAACCACUCGCUCUAAAGCAAUAGCAUCAAAAACCAAAGAGAUUGAACAGGUGAGAAUCUAGUUGUCUUCAUGUACAUAAUUUUUGUUUGUGUUGCUUUGCACAUGUAAACAUUUAUUGAAUAAAUAUGCUUCAUUUCUUUUUCCACCUGUAACUCUAAAACUACAACUUAAAAAAUUAUAAAAAUUGUUUGAGUUGACUUCACAGUCCGUUUGAUCAGUAUGGUCCCCCACCUGGAUUGUUUAUUUUUAAAUAAAAAACAGACUUCUUUUUUACAGAAUAUUAAUAUUCUAGUUAGUAUGAAGCAAUUAAAAAUUAUUAAAGUUAAUAGGGAUGGGAUGGAAGAAAUGUUCAAUGUAGCAAAAUGUUAGCAAAUGUUAUUUUUGAAUAUUGGGAUUACAGAUGUUUGUUAUGUUUUUUCAUUAUACUUUAAGGUAGUUUCCAAAUAUUAAAGGAAAAAUAAAGGAUACUAUUUAAGUCUA